Molecule: ribosomal RNA, 312 nt
Filed under: Coenobita rugosus
Lineage: Eukaryota; Metazoa; Arthropoda; Malacostraca; Decapoda; Coenobitidae
Description: partial 16S ribosomal RNA
Rfam family: Bacterial large subunit ribosomal RNA
Source: RNAcentral
UCGCCUGUUUAACAAAAACAUGUCUCUGUGAAGGUCUACACAGUCUGGCCUGCCCACUGAACUAUUAAAGGGCCGCGGUAUCUCUGACCGUGCGAAGGUAGCAUAAUCAUUAGUCUUUUAAUUGGAGGCUCGUAUGAAAGGUCGAACGAGUGAUAAACUGUCUUAAUAAAAAAAAUCGAAAUUAACUUUAAAGUGAAAAGGCUUUAAUAUACUAGAAAGACGAUAAGACCCUAUAAAUCUUUACACUAACACUUAGUAUUAGGCCAAUUUGUUUGUUUAAGGAAAAAUACUAAAAAAGUGUUUUGUUGGGGC